UUAGUUCUCUGAGGACCCUCCUGGUGGAAAAAUUCUAGAAUGUAACGAAUAUAUUAGUGACGUGGCGUAACAAACUAAUCAAAUGUCUUCUUUUAGGGAUAUUUGUCCCAUCAUGAUUGUAAAAAAAAUAUUUUUAUUGUACCUUUUUUUUGAAAAUAGUGAAUAUAAUUGGUUUGUUAUUGAUGACGUUGUGCAAGUGCGAUAGUGUAGAAUUCCUCCUCCUGAUGAGCAUGCAGUGUGAUGCUGAAAUACUCCCAU
This 258-nucleotide long non-coding RNA is filed under the name Ananas comosus (pineapple). RNAcentral's name for it is "long non-coding RNA (ACOM_LNC020442)". The record is from RNAcentral. Lineage: Eukaryota; Viridiplantae; Streptophyta; Magnoliopsida; Poales; Bromeliaceae.